GCAUUACUUGGUAGCUGCUCCCUCUAGUGGCGGGAAACAUGUGACAUCCCCUCCCAUUCAUAUGGUCCCUCCCACCUUAACCGUUUCCCCAGCUUCAAACGGUGCCUCGAGCGUUCUACUGUGUCGGUGACGUCACGACCCUCUCUGCCGCUUCCCAUUGGCCGAACGGGCUGUCAGUCAGGUGUCUAGGGUUCGGUUGUAGACUCGCGGUACAGGUCUCCCUCCCGUGGGAUUCCGAACUUGCUGCUCGCUUGGUCCCGCCCCCUCCCGUGCAAGGCCGAUGGCGGAGCCCGGGCACUGAGGGGAAAGUUGUGUCGGAUACACGCGGCCGGUCCGGGAGAGGAAGAUGACACGAAACGGCCGGGCCGAGACAUCCCACGGAAAGUAAGGGGCCCUCCGCCGGUUCAUGCUGCCGCUCCGGACGGUGUACUCGGCGGGAGUUUUGUGUUCCCGGUAACUUCCUGCCCCCUUACCCCCCCGGCUGUGGUGAGGGCGCCAAGCACACGAUCAGCCCGGGGCCCUGCCAUGGCGGCCAUCUCGGCGGCGGAGAAGGUGGACGGCUUCACGCGGAAGUCGGUGCGGAAAGCUCAGCGGCAGAAGCGAUCGCAGGGAUCGUCCCAGUUCCGAGGACAGGGCUCCCUGGUGGAGCUCUCCCCGCUGCCCCAGCUCAAAGGUAACGAUCACACGGGGGCCAGGAGGGGCCAGGGCGGCUGAUACUGGGUGUAAUGAAUACCGGCCUUAAUUCACUGCGGGGGGUGGGGGCGUGUGCUGGGAGUUGGAGUUCUUAUUGCUGAGGGUGGACACACAGUGUGAUGUGCUGGGAGUUGGAGUGCUUAUUGAUUGAUGGGGGUGGACACAUAGUGUGAUGUGCUGGGAGUUGGAGUCCCUAUUGCUGGGGGUGGACACAUAGUGUGAUGUGCUGGGAGUUGGAGUCCCUAUUGCUGGGGGUGGACACAUAGUGUGAUGUGCUGGGAGUUGGAGUCCCUAUUGCUGGGGGUGGACACAUAGUGUGAUGUGCUGGGAGUUGGAGUCCCUAUUGCUGGGGGUGGACACAUAGUGUGAUGUGCUGGGAGUUGGAGUCCCUAUUGCUGGGGGUGGACACAUAGUGUGAUGUGCUGGGAGUUGGAGUCCCUAUUGCUGGGGGUGGACACAUAGUGUGAUGUGCUGGGAGUUGGAGUCCCUAUUGCUGGGGGUGGACACAUNNNNNNNNNNNNNNNNNNNNNNNNNNNNNNNNNNNNNNNNNNNNNNNNNNNNNNNNNNNNNNNNNNNNNNNNNNNNNNNNNNNNNNNNNNNNNNNNNNNNGGGGGUGGUGUGUGUGUGUGUGUGUGGCGGGGGAGGUGUGUGGCGGGGGAGGUGCUGUGAGUUCUGGUUUAAUGAAUGUCAAUUCUGUGUGCAUGUUCUUAUGCACAGAAUGUCAUUCAUUGCCUGAGAGUGAUCAGCUGACAAUCUCAGUGAAUGAGAAAGGGGAACGGCAUCUGGCUUAUUCAGCUCUUGUAGCUAUCUUCUAGGCCAGCAGCAUAGGACCAUUGGCAUCUUGCUGGUCCCAUUGUAAAAUGGUUUUCCCCAUUACCAAGGAAUGGUACUAUUCACAUCAUAGCCACUACAAUGGGUGUUUGUGGUUAUGAUGCUUGUGUAACCCUUUAAAGAACCUUUGACUUGAUAACAUCCAGCUUGUAGCAUCACUCUUGUAUUUCUGGACUUUCAAUUUUCUUGUUAAUCAGUCUCCAGAGUUUAAGAAUUUUUUUUUUUGGGCCAAAUAGUUAGAGGGUCUUUUAGAUCCCCCACCCUCCCUUUAAUUUAAAAAAUAAAUAAAUAAAAAUUAACUUCUAUCACCUUCUAUCAUGCGUUGAAGCAGCUUCUCCUCUACAGCCAGAUCCACCUUUGCUGGUGUCAUUAGGCUUUUCCUCUGGAAGCUUUGUGGGCAUAAGCAAUUGCAAUGGUUCACCAAUCAAUCAUAAGCUUCUCAUCACAGUGCAGGGGAGCUCACAUUGAGAUAUGAGUCAAACUCAGUUCUUGACAUUUGAUGCUCUCAUGCAAUGUGUGAUCAUGUCGAAUGUCAAGAAUCUAGUUACUGUCAGGUGACAGUCACAGGAGGUGUGUUCAGCCCCGCAAUAUAAACAUUGCUGCAUUUCCAAAAUGGAAAUGUUUUACAUUGUUGGAGGGAAAUGGCAAGGAUAUUGCACCAAGACCACCUCAUUGAGUUGAAGUUGGUCAUUUCCUUUUUAGUGUUAGUCUAAGUUUAUAAUAUCUGUACGGUAUUGAAUUAAAAUUGGAGGCAUAAUUCCAAAUGAUUAGAAAAUCUAUGAAGAGUUGUUCACUAAAUUCCGAUUAGGAUUAAAUCCCAUCAUUAUCUUCAUCAUAUUUAUUAAGAUGUUCUAAAAGUGAUGGUUCUGCUUAUAGUAAAUUCCACCAGUUUUCACAGAGAUUUCCUUUGAAAAUGCUGUCAGAUUGAGUAGCGAGAAAAAUAAUUGAAAUAAUACUUUUCUAGCAGAAAAUUAAUAAACAUGUGCAUCGCUAUGAAAAUGGCAUUUAUUUAAAAAAAAAAAAAAAUGCUGGUUAAAGGGACUCUCCAGUUUUCUUGCAGUGCCCGUCUCCCUCCCAUCCCAUGUUGCUGAAGGGGUUAAAACCCCUUCAGUGACUUACCUGAAUAGAGCGCUGAUGACCCUCGUCGCUGGGUCAAUAAGCUGUAGUUGUUCUGGUGUCUAGUGUCCCUUUCAAAGGGACACUAUAGUCACCAAAACAACUACAGCAUAUUGCAUUUGUUCUGGUGAGGAGAAUCAUUCUCUUCAGGCUUCUUGCUGUAAACACUGUCUUUUCAGAGAAAAUUCAGUGUUUACAUUACAGCCUAGUGAUAACUCCACUGGCGACCUCUUAAGAUGGCUACUAGAGGUGCUUCCUUGGGCAGUCCUUCGUAGUAUGGAUCACAACAUUCAGUUUAUCCACCCUCUGCAUGGAGACACUGAACUUUCCUCAUAGAGAUGCAUUGAUUAAAUGUAUCUCAAUGGAAGAUGCUGAUUGGCCAGGGCUGUUUGACUUGUGCUGGCUCUGCCCCUGAUGUGCCUCUUUGUCAUUCUCAGCCAAUCCUAUGGGGAAGCAUUGUGAUUGACUCAGAC
This 3113-nucleotide long non-coding RNA is filed under the name Pelobates cultripes (western spadefoot toad). Lineage: Eukaryota; Metazoa; Chordata; Amphibia; Anura; Pelobatidae. The record is from RNAcentral.